This 530-nucleotide ribosomal RNA is filed under the name uncultured Aeromonas sp. RNAcentral's name for it is "bacterial SSU rRNA". It matches the Rfam family "Bacterial small subunit ribosomal RNA", at positions 9 to 526 of the family's 1533-position model. The record is from RNAcentral. Lineage: Bacteria; Pseudomonadati; Pseudomonadota; Gammaproteobacteria; Aeromonadales; Aeromonadaceae.
GAGUUUGAUCAUGGUUCAGAUUGAACGCUGGCGGCAGGCCUAACACAUGCAAGUCGAGCGGCAGCGGGAAAGUAGCUUGCUACUUUUGCCGGCGAGCGGCGGACGGGUGAGUAAUGCCUGGGAAAUUGCCCAGUCGAGGGGGAUAACAGUUGGAAACGACUGCUAAUACCGCAUACGCCCUACGGGGGAAAGCAGGGGACCUUCGGGCCUUGCGCGAUUGGAUAUGCCCAGGUGGGAUUAGCUAGUUGGUGAGGUAAUGGCUCACCAAGGCGACGAUCCCUAGCUGGUCUGAGAGGAUGAUCAGCCACACUGGAACUGAGACACGGUCCAGACUCCUACGGGAGGCAGCAGUGGGGAAUAUUGCACAAUGGGGGAAACCCUGAUGCAGCCAUGCCGCGUGUGUGAAGAAGGCCUUCGGGUUGUAAAGCACUUUCAGCGAGGAGGAAAGGUUGAUGCCUAAUACGUAUCAACUGUGACGUUACUCGCAGAAGAAGCACCGGCUAACUCCGUGCCAGCAGCCGCGGUAAUAC